RNAcentral lists this long non-coding RNA (703 nucleotides) under Homo sapiens (human). Its description in RNAcentral is "HSALNT0046586". Lineage: Eukaryota; Metazoa; Chordata; Mammalia; Primates; Hominidae. The record is from RNAcentral.
ACCACAUUUGUCUGAAGUCUCUGUGCUGUUCUCUUACAUGUACAUUUCCACUCUGACCAUACUAGUCUCCUUGUGGCUCCCUGAGCACACAUUUCACAUUCUUGUCUCUGGGUCUUUCUCUCGGCCUGGUUCUUAAGAUAGCCCCCUCCUCUCCUUUUCUUAUUCAUUGGAACCCAAGCCACCCUUAUCAGUUCAGCUCAAAUUCUUCCUCCAUUUUUCACCCCCCUUUCUCCUCACUCUGCAUACUCUUCUUUACCUGGGAAUUGCUAUAAGGAUUUGUUGUUGCAUUGGCUUGUUUGUUUGUUUUAUUCCUAAGAGCUUUGUGAUAAUCUAUUGCCUCUAUCACUGUAUGGUAGACUUACGUGACAGCAAUCUCUUAAUUAAGCAUACCCUGAGAAUGACCCUGUGUAACAGACACACCUGAAAGCAAUAACUUAACUGAAGAAAUAAGUGUUGCCACGUGGAAGUUGCUGGCUGGUGGGGGCGGUUGCUAACCGAAAGUGCUGUAUAAACUGCAUGCUUUUUUGCAAGCAGUGACCGGUUCUCCUGUUCAGACUGCUACCACUGGACUGCCCUGAGUCUUCCUCUUGUCCGCCGGGCUGGAGUGCAAUGGCACGAUCUCAGUUCACUGCAACUUCUGCUUCCUGGCUUCAAGUGAUUCUCCUGCUUCAGCCUGCUGAGUAGCUGGAAUUACAGGUGCCUG